This 439-nucleotide long non-coding RNA is filed under the name Ananas comosus (pineapple). RNAcentral's name for it is "long non-coding RNA (ACOM_LNC011741)". Lineage: Eukaryota; Viridiplantae; Streptophyta; Magnoliopsida; Poales; Bromeliaceae. The record is from RNAcentral.
CGAACGGACAGAGUCUCCCCUGUACGUCCAAGGCGUCGCAAUCAAAACAAUACGAGAGGUUCCAAACAGGAACAGUAUUCAUUCACAGAUUGCAUAAGAAAGUAUCAAAAACAUAAACUACUAAGUUAUUACAGCAUUCAACUUAGAUGCAUUUUACAACAUAAUUUUUCUUUUACAAUUAACCUCCCAAUACAAUCAUAAUCAUUACAGAUUCUUUUACAACUUAAACAAAAGUUUGUUCUUGUUUUUAAACCUCCCAAGCUAGACCACCAACUCGGGUACUGCUAUCUCAGUCUCUGGGUAGGACGCUAUCUGCAGAUCUACGUCCUCGCCUUGCGCCGCCGCGCUGCACACGUGUGUACCUGUACCCCCAAAACAGCAACACGGGGGUGAGACUAUUGUCCAUAGUCCUCAGUGGGUUUAGCCACCCAAGAGAACN